RNAcentral lists this ribosomal RNA (246 nucleotides) under uncultured bacterium. RNAcentral's name for it is "partial 16S ribosomal RNA". It matches the Rfam family "Bacterial small subunit ribosomal RNA", at positions 337 to 600 of the family's 1533-position model. The record is from RNAcentral.
GCCUACGGGACGCAGCAGUGGGGAAUAUUGCACAAUGGGGGAAACCCUGAUGCAGCGACGCCGCGUGAGCGGAGAAGGAUUUCGGUAUGUAAAGCUCUAUCAGCAGGGAAGAAAAUGACGGUACCUGACUAAGAAGCUCCGGCUAAAUACGUGCCAGCAGCCGCGGUAAUACGUAUGGAGCAAGCGUUAUCCGGAUUUACUGGGUGUAAAGGGAGCGUAGGCGGUAAGGCAAGUCUGAUGUGAAAG